Long non-coding RNA from Ruditapes philippinarum (Manila clam), 2793 nucleotides. RefSeq lists it as uncharacterized. The record is from RefSeq and is a predicted model, not a curated record. The transcript is spliced from 3 exons. Lineage: Eukaryota; Metazoa; Mollusca; Bivalvia; Venerida; Veneridae.
AGUUUAUUCCCGUUCUCCAGACACAGAUUCGUCGGUUCAUCCAAAUAUACUCCUCGUGGACGUCUCGUUUUUACAGUCGAAAGCGAUAUGCUGAAGAUUUUAUAGAGGAAAAUUUCACACCGGCUUCGGCUCUCGAUUGCUGCGAAAUAUGCAAAAAAAGAAGAAAAAAGGAAUAAUAGGAUAAUUAGUAAAGGUGGCUGGUGGUAAUUUAAAAAAUUAGGCAAUAUAGAAGAGUGAAUGACACUGAACAUGACCGUCGCACAAUUAGAGGGCCCGUCGUAGAUUGUAUUAUGAAGCAACGUCUGAAAGAAAAUAUGAAUCACACUGAACAUGACCGUCGCACAAUUAGAGGGCCCGUCGUAGAUUAUAUAUACGGGAACGUCUCGUAUAGCAAGAUUUUAAUAACCAAGAACCGGUACAGCAAUAUUUUAAGAACCCAUCAGCCACCAAAAAGAAGAGGAUUGUGUUUGACUGAAGUCAUAAGAAGGGCUAUUGACAAAUAGUAUAUAAAUAAUAGCAGAAACACGGCAAUACGUGACAAGACUUCGAGAUGACAUAUUCAUUCACGCGUAAUAAUUUUUUAGUUAAAAUAGCAGAGUAGCUCAUAGACAUUGGGCUGGAUCACGUUUGGCGUCUUUAUAAAAUUUACCAAAUCAAAACGCUUUGGUAAAUAAUACAUAAAAGAGGCGCGGUUUCAUAUGUUAUCGUCAGAUUAACAUAAACAUUACAAAACAUAUGACUGUCUAUUAUUUAUGUAUAAAAUAUGGUUAACGAUAUUGGAUGCUUCUAGAUAAAUUAUUAAUGAUAUUUAAAGAUUUGCUCUGUAAUUCUUAAAAAGGGCGCUUUUCAUUUUUAUAAAAUGUUUUAUUCACCAGCACAUAAAUGCGUCUUCGAAACACAUAAACAGAAAGCUAAGGAGUUUUUAUCAACGGAACCGUUCUUAAAAGUUAGCUAUGACUAAUUAAGUUAUUAUCAAAUUAUCCGUAAUCAAGCGUUUAACAAAAAGUAUUUUAAUUGAACAAAUAUUUAAAGUAGCUUUAAAAAUUGCUAUAGAUAUAUUUAUAUUUUAUCGAGCCAUAUUUUGCAUUUAUAAUGAAUUUGAUAUAUGUGUUACUACUUGACUGUAAGGGUAAAUAUCAAUAGCUGGAUAUAAUGUAUUCAGGUAUAAUGAAAAGCUAUCUUUUUCACAAAGUCUUCUUUUCUUAGUAAGCAUUAAACAAAGUAAAUUUAUCAAAGAUCCUGAAACAAAUUUUUUUAUGGUUUUAAAUUAUAAAUAUGAUGCUCAAAUUAAGAUUUAUCAAUAGUGUAGGUUCCAAAAAGAAUUAUUUAUAAAGAUAUUACCGAAUUUAACAUUUCAUGUAAAUAAAGGGAGGUAAUAAAAAUUAUUUUCCAUAAAGUUUAAGUCAAAUUUUACAAUAAGAAAUGAAUGCAUAUAUUUUAAUGAUUACAUAUAAUAUGCGCAAAUAUUUGCAGUACAUAUUUCACAUGUUCUUCAAUGUUUGAAAAUUGUUUUAUUUGCCUAAUUAUGUACAUAUAUAUAAUUUCACUUAGUGUGGUUAACAACAUACAUUAUUAUCUUUAACAUAUUAAAUUUGCAAUCUACAUUAAAUCGAUCUGUUGCUGACGUUUUAAUAAAGCACGAUUUGAGUAAAUACCUAAAUUACGAAUACCUGUUACAUUUGCUGUAGUCAUAGGAACAUAUGUAAACUUAAUACCUGUUCAAAUAGUAUAUCUUGAUAUACUUUAUAAGAAGUUCUUUUAACACAAGUACUAAAUGUAGAACAAGUAUAAUCGCAGGGCGUCAUUGCAUAUCACCAGAAGAAACAUUGAAAUAAUCAUUUUGCUUGAUUAUUUUGUUCCAAUGGCAUAUUUUUUGUGUUCGUAUUGUUAAGUUUUAAGAUCAUCCCUUUUAGUGUCAUCUCUUUUGCCUAAAAAUAAAUGUUAAGACUCUAGAUGUCAAUAUAUUGUGCUUAUCUUAAUAAUACAGUUAACAUGUUUUAAAUGUUUUAACAUGAAAACCAAUAUCACACUAUAAGGCUUAGAUUAUAUCUUGAUAAAACUCAAUGACAAAUUUAGUACUUGGUUGAAACAACGUGAAUGCAUAUGAAAACUAAUUUUGUGAACUUUGAACGUUUGUAGAUUUCUAACAUUCUAAAAAUAUAACACAUGCUUUGUAAUACAUGUACCUUUGAAAGUUGUGUACAUAUUUAAGACUUUUGCUAUGUGUUUUUGCUGAAGACAAUCUAAAAAUAUAACACAUGCUUUGUAAUACAUGUACCUUUGAAAGUUUUGUACAUAUUUAAGACUUUUGCUAUGUGUUUUUGCUGAAGACAUUCUAAAAAUAUAACACAUGCUUUGUAAUACAUGUACCUUUGAAAGUUGUGUACAUAUUUAAGACUUUUGCUAUGUGUUUUUUGCUGAAGUCAUUCUAAAAAUAUAACACAUGCUUUGUAAUACACGUACCUUUGAAAGUUUUGUACAUAUUUAAGACUUUUGCUAUGUGUUUUUGCUGAAGACAUUCUAAAAAUAUAACACAUGCUUUGUAAUACAUGUACCUUUGAAAGUUUUGUACAUAUUUAAGAAUUUUGCUAUAUGAUACACUAUAAUUUUAUAUUUUUGUAUAUUACCAUUUUCUUUUUUCACUUCAACAUUCAAAUUUGUUUACUACUGUAAAGUAGAAAUGAUAAGAAAUCAUUCUUGUUAUAUUUUUAGUUUAUUGUACUAUUGUUUUUUAAUUAUUAUAUAUUCGUUUUAACAUAAAAGAUUUUUGUUUUCAGAUCUGCAAAUUAGGCU